RNAcentral lists this ribosomal RNA (576 nucleotides) under Themisto abyssorum. RNAcentral's name for it is "partial small subunit ribosomal RNA". It matches the Rfam family "Eukaryotic small subunit ribosomal RNA", at positions 564 to 971 of the family's 1831-position model. Lineage: Eukaryota; Metazoa; Arthropoda; Malacostraca; Amphipoda; Hyperiidae. The record is from RNAcentral.
GUGCCAGCAGCCGCGGUAAUUCCAGCUCCAGUGGCGUAUGCCAAUGUUGCUGCGGUUAAAAGGCUCGCAGUUGAAUGUCGGUUAAUAUACGCGUAGAGGUGCCGGGACGUUGCGAGCUUUGUUGCCUCGUGCAUCAUUGUGAGCCGUCUCUCCAAGUGCAUCUCUCGCGGGCUAACGAUUAGAUUGACGGCACAGAGUGUUGCUCUUUCACGCAAGUGUUCGGGCUUCGCUCACACGUGUCGUCGGUUGACACCUUGAGUAAAUCAGAGUGCUUAAAGCAGUCGUUGAAACACUACGGCUGCGACUUACCCUCUCGCGAGGCUAAAGUCGUAUGUCUAUGGUGACGUCGCAAGACGUUUGGACAUUGUCUUUGCUUUGCAUGGUACGUCGGAAGACGCCGUGUGAGUUGGUUGCGCUUACGGUAAGACAUACCUUCUGUGUGUGCGCGUGCACCAACAAGCACGGAAUGAUUUGACAGGGAUGGCUCGAAGGCAUUGGUAUUGCGGGGCGAGAGGUGAAAUUCUAUGACCCCCGCAAGACUUCCCGAAGCCGAAAGCGUCUGCCUAGGAACGUCCU